AGAGUUUGAUCCUGGCUCAGAACGAACGCUGGCGGAGUGCUUCACGCAUGCAAGUCGUACGAGAAACUCUCCUUCGGGAGACGAGUAGAGUGGCGCACGGGUGAGUAACGCGUGGACAAUCUGCCUCCGGGUUCGGGACAACCCUGGGAAACUGGGGCUAAUACCAAAUAAGACUACAGGGUCCCCGGGCCCGGUAGUAAAAGAUGGCCUCUUCUUGAAAGCUAUCGCCCGUUGAUGAGUCCGCGUCCCAUUAGCUUGUUGGUGAGGUAAAAGCUCACCAAGGCUUCGAUGGGUAGCUGGUCUGAGAGGAUGAUCAGCCACACUGGAACUGAGACACGGUCCAGACAUCUACGGAUGGCAGCAGCGGGGAAUCUUGGGCAAUGGGCGAAAGCCUGACCCAGCAACGCCGCGUGAGGGAUGAAGGCCUUCGGGUCGUAAACCUCUGUCGGGAGGGAAGAAAGGGCCGUAGGCGAAUAGCCUGCGGUCUUGACGGUACCUCCAAAGGAAGUACCGGCUAACUCCGUGCCAGCAGCCGCGGUAAUACGGAGGGUACGAGCGUUGUUCGGAAUCAUUGGGCGUAAAGCGGGUGUAGGCGGCUUGGCAAGUUGGGUGUGAAAUCCCUGGGCUCAACCCAGGAACUGCAGCCAAAACUGCCUCGCUAGAGUCUCGGAGAGGGUGGCGGAAUUCCCGGUGUAGAGGUGAAAUUCGUAGAUAUCGGGAGGAACACCAGUGGCGAAGGCGGCCACCUGGACGAUGACUGACGCUCAGACCCGAAAGCGUGGGGAGCAAACAGGAUUAGAUACCCUGGUAGUCCACGCCGUAAACGUUGGGUGCUCGUCGUAGCGGGUAUUGACCCCUGCUGUGACCAAGCUAACGCAUGAAGCACCCCGCCUGGGGAGUACGGUGGCAACACUAAAACUCAAAGGAAUUGACGGGGGCCCGCACAAGCGGUGGAGCAUGUGGUUUAAUUCGAAGCGACGCGCAGAACCUUACCUGGGUUUGACAUGUACGGAAUCUCUUGGAAACUCGAGAGUGCCUUCGGGAGCCGUAACACAGGUGCUGCAUGGCUGUCGUCAGCUCGUGUCGUGAGGUGUUGGGUUAAGUCCCGCAACGAGCGCAACCCCUAUCGUUAGUUGCCAGCAGUUCGGCUGGGCACUCUAGCGAGACUGCCGGUGUUAAACCGGAGGAAGGUGGGGAUGACGUCAAGUCCUCAUGGCCUUUAUAUCCAGGGCUACUCACGUGCUACAAUGGUCGGUACAGAGGGUCGCCAACCCGCGAGGGGGAGCCAAUCCCAAAAAGCCGGCCUCAGUUCGGAUUGGAGUCUGCAAUUCGACUCCAUGAAGGUGGAAUCGCUAGUAAUCGGAGAUCAGCACGCUCCGGUGAAUACGUUCCCGGGCCUUGUACACACCGCCCGUCACAGCACGGAAGCUGGUUGAACCAGAAGUCGGUGACCUAACCUUCGGGAAGGAACCGCCCAAGGUAUGACUAGUGAUUGGGGUUAAGUCGUAACAAGGUA
RNAcentral lists this ribosomal RNA (1516 nucleotides) under uncultured prokaryote. RNAcentral's name for it is "partial 16S ribosomal RNA". It matches the Rfam family "Bacterial small subunit ribosomal RNA". The record is from RNAcentral.